Molecule: ribosomal RNA, 253 nt
Filed under: uncultured bacterium
Lineage: Bacteria
Description: partial 16S ribosomal RNA
Rfam family: Bacterial small subunit ribosomal RNA
Source: RNAcentral
UACGUAGGGGGCAAGCGUUGUCCGGAAUCAUUGGGCGUAAAGCGCGUGUAGGCGGUUCAGUAAGUCUGCUGUGAAAGUCCAGGGCUCAACCCUGGGAUGCCGGUCGAUACUGCCGGACUAGAGUUCGGAAGAGGCGAGUGGAAUUCCCGGUGUAGCGGUGAAAUGCGCAGAUAUCGGGAGGAACACCAAUGGCGAAGGCAGCUCGCUGGGACGUUACUGACGCUGAGACGCGAAAGCGUGGGGAGCAAACAGG